Molecule: ribosomal RNA, 139 nt
Filed under: uncultured Desulfurivibrio sp.
Lineage: Bacteria; Pseudomonadati; Thermodesulfobacteriota; Desulfobulbia; Desulfobulbales; Desulfobulbaceae
Description: partial 16S ribosomal RNA
Rfam family: Bacterial small subunit ribosomal RNA
Source: RNAcentral
GGGCAGCCACUCAGCGAUGAGGCGCUAAUCCCAUAAAGCCGGUCUCAGUCCGGAUCGCAGUCUGCAACUCGACUGCGUGAAGUUGGAAUCGCUAGUAAUCGUAGAUCAGCAUGCUACGGUGAAUACGUUCCCGGGCCUU